This 378-nucleotide ribosomal RNA is filed under the name uncultured organism. RNAcentral describes it as "partial 16S ribosomal RNA". It matches the Rfam family "Bacterial small subunit ribosomal RNA", at positions 526 to 897 of the family's 1533-position model. The record is from RNAcentral.
GAGGGGGUGCAAACGUUAUUCGGAUUUACUGGGUGUAAAGGGUGUGUAGACGGGUUGUUAAGGCUCGUUGUUAAAUCUUCCGGGCCUAACCGGGAAGCUCGCGAUGGAAACUGGCAGUCUAGAGGAUGGAAGAGAGAAGUGGAAUUCUCGGAGUAGCGGUAAAAUGCGUAGAUCUCGAGAGGAACACCGAUGGCGAAGGCAGCUUCUUGGUCCAUUCCUGACGUUGAGACACGAAAGCGUGGGGAGCAAACAGGAUUAGAUACCCUGGUAGUCCACGCUGUAAACGAUGAUCACUAGAUGUUGGCCCUGUUUUGCAGGGUUAGUAUCGAAGCUAACGCGUUAAGUGAUCCACCUGGGAACUACGAUCGCAAAGAUUAA